CUUGUCUGGAAAAUGCUUGACCUUAACUUGCAAGAAGGAUGGUAUCGCUUUAAUGGUACUGGUGGAGAUCAAAUGGCCUACUACUGCUUAAGUAAACCUGGGUUUAAUUACAGUUCAAUUUCUGUAAAUUUGACCUGGAACUCAUGUGAUCCAGUCAAUGGCAGUGCACAGAAUCUAGACUGUGGUGCAGGACUGAUCCUCUACUACCUCAUUCCAAUUAGAGGAGCUUAUAGGACAAGUCACUCUUCCUGCAAUGCAUCUUCCUGUGGGACGAAUGUUGCAUGUAAUAAUUCUGAUGGUGGAUGUGCGUGUGACUCUGAUAAAUAUCUAAUGCUCCAUGACGAAUACUAUACCUGCAUAGCUAGAUCAAACAAAAUUGGGUACACAUUCAUGGAUCUACAAAAUAUCC
This is a long non-coding RNA of Pygocentrus nattereri (red-bellied piranha), 409 nucleotides long. The record is from Ensembl. NCBI's taxonomy places the organism in Eukaryota, Metazoa, Chordata, Actinopteri, Characiformes, Serrasalmidae.